This 492-nucleotide ribosomal RNA is filed under the name uncultured bacterium. RNAcentral's name for it is "partial 16S ribosomal RNA". It matches the Rfam family "Bacterial small subunit ribosomal RNA", at positions 29 to 507 of the family's 1533-position model. The record is from RNAcentral.
AGUGAACGCUGGCGGUAGGCCUAACACAUGCAAGUCGAACGGCAGCACAGUAAGAGCUUGCUCUUACGGGUGGCGAGUGGCGGACGGGUGGGGAAUACAUCGGAAUCUACUUUUUCGUGGGGGAUAACGUAGGGAAACUUACGCUAAUACCGCAUACGACCUACGGGUGAAAGCAGGGGAUCUUCGGAACUUGCGCGAUUGAAUGAGCCGAUGUCGGAUUAGCUAGUUGGCGGGGUAAAGGCCCACCAAGGCGACGAUCCGUAGCUGGUCUGAGAGGAUGAUCAGCCACACUGGAACUGAGACACGGUCCAGACUCCUACGGGAGGCAGCAGUGGGGAAUAUUGGACAAUGGGCGCAAGCCUGAUCCAGCCAUACCGCGUGGGUGAAGAAGGCCUUCGGGUUGUAAAGCCCUUUUGUUGGGAAAGAAAAGCAGCAGGUUAAUACCCCGCUGUUCUGACGGUACCCAAAGAAUAAGCACCGGCUAACUUCGUG